RNAcentral lists this ribosomal RNA (600 nucleotides) under Porina chlorotica. Its description in RNAcentral is "SSU rRNA". It matches the Rfam family "Bacterial small subunit ribosomal RNA", at positions 516 to 1184 of the family's 1533-position model. The record is from RNAcentral. Lineage: Eukaryota; Fungi; Ascomycota; Lecanoromycetes; Ostropales; Porinaceae.
CGCGGUAAGACGUGUAAGACGAGUGUUAUUCAUCUUCAUUAGGUCUAUAGGGUACCUAGACAGUUAAUUAAGCCUAAGAUCUCAGCAGGAACUAAUUAUACUAGAGUUUAAUAGAAGAAGGUAGAACGGUGAGUGGAGAGAUGAAAUUCUUUUAUACCACCUAGUGACUCGCAAGGGCGAAGGCGACCUUUUAUGUAAUAACUGACGUUGAGGGACGAAGGCUCGACUUAGGAAACAGGAUUAGAUACCCCAGUACCGUGAGCAGACAAUGAUGAGUGUCAUAUAUAAGUUAAUAAACGCAUAUGUAUAAAUGAAAGUGUAAGCACUCCACCUCAAGAGUAAUAUGGCAACAUAGGAACUGAAAUCAUUAGACCGUUUCUGAAACCAGUAGUGAAGUAUGUUGUUUAAUUUGAUGAUCCACAAAGAACCUUACCAUAACAUGAAUAUUUUUUCUUAAAUAGGAAAUUUACAGGCGUUGCACGGCUGUCUUCAGUUGAUAUCGUGAGAUAUUGGUUAGUUCCAUUAGAUCAACGUAAACCCNNNNNNUAUUUUCUAUAUAAAGUAGUUCUCCGUAAAAUUGGAAAAGAUAAGAGGACUAAG